This 200-nucleotide long non-coding RNA is filed under the name Nicotiana benthamiana. RNAcentral's name for it is "long non-coding RNA (NBEN_LNC000032)". The record is from RNAcentral. Lineage: Eukaryota; Viridiplantae; Streptophyta; Magnoliopsida; Solanales; Solanaceae.
ACCAUACACUCUGCCAAUGACCGGUUUAUGUGGCGGCAUGCUAUUUCCCUUUCUCUCCCCGCCGCGAACCGCCGGUGGCAACCAGUUAAGGCCGUGUACAGCCGAUCGCAGUUACCUGCAGUUGAGGUUUCUCUGCUCGACAUAUGGAUUGGUGUAAUUGAGGAUUUUGAUUGUUACCAACUACCAAGUUAGAUCUUGGA